AAGUAAUGAUGUUUUUAAUCCUAUUCCAUUUCUGAAGCAGAAGUGUGGAAAUAAAUUUACUGAACUU
This is a small nucleolar RNA of Protopterus annectens (West African lungfish), 67 nucleotides long. RefSeq annotates it as small nucleolar RNA SNORD98. The transcript has a single exon. The record is from RefSeq and is a predicted model, not a curated record. NCBI's taxonomy places the organism in Eukaryota, Metazoa, Chordata, Ceratodontiformes, Protopteridae.